CAGCAGCCGCGGUAAUACAGAGGAUGCAAGCGUUAUCCGGAAUGAUUGGGCGUAAAGCGUCUGUAGAUGGCUUUUCAAGUCCGCCGUCAAAUCCCAGGGCUCAACCCUGGACAGGCGGUGGAAACUACCAAGCUGGAGUACGGUAGGGGCAGAAGGAAUUUCCGGUGGAGCGGUGAAAUGCGUAGAUAUUGGGAGGAACACCAGUGGCGAAGGCGGCUUUCUGGACUGCAACUGACGCUGAGGCUCGAAAGCCAGGGGAGCGAACGGGAUUAGAUACCCCCGUAGUCCCUGUCUCUUAUAC
Molecule: ribosomal RNA, 301 nt
Filed under: uncultured bacterium
Lineage: Bacteria
Description: partial 16S ribosomal RNA
Rfam family: Bacterial small subunit ribosomal RNA
Source: RNAcentral